GUCUGUCACUACGUGAGAUGUGCUUUUCUCCUUCCACCAUGAUGUGGGGCCUCCCCAGCCACAUUGAAAUGCAUUUAUGAAGUAGGGACCUGGAAUUGAAUAGACUCCUAAAGGAGAGACAGAAGUUUGAAAGAGCAAGAUGAGUGGAUGUGAAUCCAGACAUAAAAAGAGAACAGCAAAUAUUUGAAAGAGUUUAAGACAUACUCCUCAAGGUUGAAGAACUCACUUUGGCAUUUCUUGUAAGAUGGUUCUGGUGGUACCACAGAUAGAAGCCUCGAGAAGCUUACUUUGGUGAGAAAUUUUGCCUUUCUCUGCAGGCUUCUACCAGUUCGAUUCCAUCUGUGGGUCUUAGUUUUCAGUUACCUGCAGUCAAAUGUGGUCCAAUAUACAGACUGGAAUAAGAGACACUGGAGACUCCAAAAGAAUAUUUUCUGGUAGACUGAUACAUUUCUCCUAAAAAAUUUG
RNAcentral lists this long non-coding RNA (465 nucleotides) under Pongo abelii (Sumatran orangutan). Its description in RNAcentral is "lincRNA". Lineage: Eukaryota; Metazoa; Chordata; Mammalia; Primates; Hominidae. The record is from RNAcentral.